GGGCAGGAGGCAUUUACCUCCCAUUGUGGUCAGGGAAGGAAAACGGAAAGUCUUAGAGGGAUGGAGCACAGUGUGGGUUCAGGUCCCAACAUCACUCAGCGCAAUGCUCCUGUCCUGCCAUGAUGACUCCCGCUCUGCUGCCCAGGAGGUCCAGGUGGGAUGUGCAAAGAAUAUUUCUAUUGAUUUUCAUCUUCUCCUCCAACUGCCAUACCUCCUAACACAGGAAUGUGUUGGUACAGUAAUCUAGCAUGUAACUGAUACACUUAUAAUUUACAUCUAAAUUACAUAAGAUCAUUAUAUAAGAUAGAAUUUAUAGUUCACGUCUGUGAGUGCACACCUCGACUCUGCCUUUUACUGGAAAGAGAGCGUAAGGAGAAGAGUUCAGAGGGCUGCCAGAGGGAGCGAGUGAACGAGGGAGCGGGUUCACACGCAUGCUCUGCUCUCCAGGGCUUUCCGGUCUCCUCAGCCCUUCUCUCAAUGGCUCUGUUGUGACAGCACAGUCCCUCGGCCUCACAGCCUCUGUCACUGAAAAGUCCCGCAUCCUUUCAUGUCAGCAGCCUCGGCAGAUGGCUGAGGGCUCAACCUUCUCCAGCACCUGCAGGUUCAGAUACCUCCCAUGACCACUCUCCCUCUCUCCAGUACUGGAGUUUGAACUCAGGGCCUUGGGAUGCGAGAGAGCCCAGCAGAGUGGAUGGGGCAGCUGUGGGCAGCAGCUCGGACACAGACCUUCAGUCCUCCGGCAGGGAGAAAGAACCUGUGAGGUAGGCCCUCACUUCUUCAGGCACCUCAGCUCUGGGAACUGUAACCCACCGGCCCAGACAGCUGGAGUCCUGGUUCAACCCCUAUCCCAGGAGGAUGAGGUGGGGCUGGAAGCAGCAGCAGGAGGAGAAUGGGGGAAGCAGUCAUGGAGAAGUCCCUGGAACUCACCCUGUCAUUGGCUGCUCUCCUGAAAUUAUCAGUAAGAAAGGCCAGCUGGAUCUGUGGCAUGUCUGCCUGACGCUGGAUGCGAGCA
RNA transcript from Peromyscus eremicus (cactus mouse), 1012 nucleotides. It is a transcript of the gene named photoreceptor disc component, with no coding region annotated. NCBI's taxonomy places the organism in Eukaryota, Metazoa, Chordata, Mammalia, Rodentia, Cricetidae. The record is from RefSeq and is a predicted model, not a curated record. The transcript is spliced from 5 exons.